UGCGCCUGCGGCGGAUCCGGCACGGACGUUUUUUUAUGGCUUCGCAGGCAGCCGUCCGUGUACGAUCUUGUCAAUCCCAGAAUUUCUGGGAUUUAAAGACUUC
RNAcentral lists this small RNA (103 nucleotides) under bovine gut metagenome. Its description in RNAcentral is "RT-5 RNA". It matches the Rfam family "RT-5 RNA". Rfam says of the family: Clostridium (Firmicutes). Environment (Cow rumen (57)) The record is from RNAcentral.